CCCCUAAAAGCCGUCCCAGUUCAGAUCGCAGUCUGCAACCCGACUGCGUGAAGUCGGAAUCGCUAGUAAUCGCGGAUCAGCAUGCCGCGGUGAAUACGUUCCCGGGCCUUGUACACACCGCCCGUCACACCAUGAGAGUCGGGAACACCCGAAGUCCGUAGCCUAACCGCAAGGGGGGCGCGGCCGAAGGUGGGUUCGAUAAUUGGGGUGAAGUCGUAACAAGGUAAC
RNAcentral lists this ribosomal RNA (228 nucleotides) under uncultured bacterium. RNAcentral describes it as "partial 16S ribosomal RNA". It matches the Rfam family "Bacterial small subunit ribosomal RNA", at positions 1273 to 1500 of the family's 1533-position model. The record is from RNAcentral.